Oncorhynchus mykiss (rainbow trout) is the source of this 553-nucleotide non-coding RNA. Lineage: Eukaryota; Metazoa; Chordata; Actinopteri; Salmoniformes; Salmonidae. The record is from RefSeq and is a predicted model, not a curated record.
UAAUAUUCCAGUAUUUCUGGUUCCGGUGAUGGGGAAGGGAUAGAUGUACGUAUGCGCACAUGGACAAACGUUUUGUUAUUUUUGGGUGUACAAGAAUAGUGUGUGCAUGCGUUAAUGAGUUUCAGUACCACACCUCUGGGCUGGUAAACCCCCUUGGCAUUUAAGAUUAUGAGGCUUAUUAAAUGUCUAAGUAGGGGGAGGCAUUUACAUUACCCUCUCUCUCCUCCUUCUCACCCAGUUCAGAUGGGUUCAUCAUGAUACCACCCAUUGAAUCGCGACGGAGUAGACUACACAUGAUGGUUCAGAAAGAAGAGGAGGACAUACAGAGAAGCUAGGUGGUGCUGUGAGGCCAGGGAGAGGCACCUGUUGGAGUUAAGCCAACCUAAACUGCAGAAACUGGUAUUCCAUCGUCACAUUUUAAACUGAGAAAAGAGGAGAUGGACUGGCAACGGAGACAGGCAGGGGAAAAGGAGUAUGAGAGGAUGAAGGCUAAACAGCAGGAGAACGCCAGAGAGUGUUAGCAAUGUACAAAUAAAUCACUUAUUUACUGUCA